Molecule: long non-coding RNA, 1462 nt
Organism: Triticum urartu
Lineage: Eukaryota; Viridiplantae; Streptophyta; Magnoliopsida; Poales; Poaceae
Source: RefSeq, a predicted model, not a curated record
UGCAGCCCACUUCUGGCCUCUACCUCUCCCACCCAUCGCUGCCGCCCCACGUAUGCCGCUACCCCAUAUGAGCUUAUCCGUGCCGCCACCAGCCAUACAUCGUGCGUCGCCGACUCUUCCCCACGGUCCCCAUCUUCCCUCUACGCCGCCUCUCUCGGAUCUUUGAGAAGCUCGACGUUGCCACGCAGGAGAACGCGCGCUGUGUCCCUCCGAAUCACGCCAUGGCCACAUCUUCUUCUUCAACUCUGACAUCGCGCCGCCGUGUCGCCGAUCUCCUCCUCGAGCAAACCCUAGCCAAAUUUUCAUAUCCACCCUGAGAUCCUGACCUGCCCGCCUGCUAAUGCAGACGGAGGCGUGGGUGGGCGGUGUCGUUGUCGACUGCCGGGGCGCCGGCCGCUAGAAUCAGGAACGUCGGCACCGCCACCAUGGCGCACCUCGCUGCUGACGGGAUCGCGCGGACGUCGUCAGCAAGACCUGCACCAGGCCCCUCCCCUGCCUCACCAUACUCUUACAGGUUAUUGUUUCCGGCUCCCUAUUUCUCUCUUGCUUUCUUGUAUGACGGAUUGGGGAACUUAGUGCUGGAGAGGGAAAUUCUCAUAAAGAUUUGGGGGCUGAAAAAGUACGGGAUAAACCUUGGGGUUCUAUCAAACUAAGGAAUUGAAGUGUUUAUGUGAGUGGCUGACCCGUGGUGGAGGUGUGUGAGCAGCGCAUGCCCGGUCUGUGUGAUCAGCAUGUCCACGUCUCCCAACCUGCCGGCUGCCACUUCUCAACACUGACCUCAAGAAUCCUCGAAUGGAUUUGUAGGCUAUGGAUCAAUACCACUCCAUUGGUCUAACACAGCUGGUUCAUGUUUAGCAUUUGGCAACAUAGAAUAUCGUCGACGUACGGCUUUGGCUUGGAAAUUUUGUCAACAUCAAAUUUUGACAAUUUCGUGAUGAAGCACGAGCGGGUGCUAACCAUAAGUGACCGGAAGCCUGCAGCAUGUGCAAUAUGUGGUCUUGUGUUACAGUUGAUCAAUCUACGUGCGCAUUAGAUUACAGUUUUGGAGGUUUGAUAGUGUGCUUGAGCGGGGAUACCACACUUCCAAUCUUGAAUGGACAGGAACGUAUUGUCAAUUGGAUGUGCUCUGUGAAACUAAGACAAAGUUCAAUGAAACGAUGGAAUAGUGACCUGCAUCAUAUUGUUCGUUGAUGAAAUAGCCCUUAUCCGACUAAAGAGAAAUUGGACUGAUAUCAUCAAGCUGGAAAAGUUUUUGUGUAGUCCUGUUGGUCAGAAUAUAAACGGUUAAAGAUGCUGAAGUUUUCCAGUUAACCUCAUGUAGGUACUUCAUUUUGUUAGUCGGAAUUAUCCAGGUAGCUGGUUAUGUAUGCAGACUGGGUAUGGCUGUUACAAGGCUCGAAACAAAUUGGAGACACAUGGUAAAGUAAUAGUAAUGCAUGCAAAUGACAGCGGUGCUCUUCAA